UUCCGGAUUAGCUCAGCGGUAGAGUAGGCGGCUGUUAACCGCUUGGUCGCUGGUUCGAAUCCAGCAUCCGGAGCCAC
RNAcentral lists this transfer RNA (77 nucleotides) under Campylobacter hominis ATCC BAA-381. RNAcentral's name for it is "tRNA-Asn". It matches the Rfam family "tRNA". From Rfam's summary of the family: Transfer RNA (tRNA) molecules are approximately 80 nucleotides in length. Their secondary structure includes four short double-helical elements and three loops (D, anti-codon, and T loops). Lineage: Bacteria; Pseudomonadati; Campylobacterota; Epsilonproteobacteria; Campylobacterales; Campylobacteraceae. The record is from RNAcentral.